Molecule: unclassified non-coding RNA, 336 nt
Filed under: soil metagenome
Description: partial contains 5.8S ribosomal RNA, internal transcribed spacer 2, and large subunit ribosomal RNA
Rfam family: 5.8S ribosomal RNA (bases 1-120)
Source: RNAcentral
GAUGAAGAACGCAGCGAAAUGCGAUAAGUAGUGUGAAUUGCAGAAUUCAGUGAAUCAUCGAAUCUUUGAACGCACAUUGCGCCCCUUGGUAUUCCAUGGGGCAUGCCCGUUCGAGCGUCAUUUGUACCUUCAAGCUUUGCUUGGUGUUGGGUGUUUGUCUCGCCUUUGCGUGUAGACUCGCCUUAAAAUAAUUGGCAGCCGGCGUAUUGAUUUCGGAGCGCAGUACAUCUCGCGCUUUGCACUCAUAACGACAGCGUCCAAAAGUACAUUUUACACUCUUGACCUCGGAUCAGGUAGGGAUACCCGCUGAACUUAAGCAUAUCAAUAAGCGGAGGA